RNAcentral lists this ribosomal RNA (255 nucleotides) under uncultured bacterium. RNAcentral's name for it is "partial 16S ribosomal RNA". It matches the Rfam family "Bacterial small subunit ribosomal RNA", at positions 99 to 354 of the family's 1533-position model. The record is from RNAcentral.
CGGACGGGUGAGUAACGCGUGAGGAACCUGCCUUCAGUGGGGGACAACAGUUGGAAACGACUGCUAAUACCGCAUAAUGUACGGGUAUCGCAUGGUACUGGUACCAAAGAUUUAUCGCUGAGAGAUGGCCUCGCGUCUGAUUAGCUAGUUGGUAGGGUAACGGCCUACCAAGGCGACGAUCAGUAGUCGGACUGAGAGGUUGGCCCGGCCACAUUGGGACUGAGAUACGGCCCAGACUCCUACGGAAGGCAGCAG